CGCGUAGGCGGCCUGGUAAGUCAGUUGUGAAAUCCCUCGGCUCAACCGAGGAACUGCGACUGAUACUGCCGGGCUCGAGUCCCGGAGAGGGUAGCGGAAUUCCCAGUGUAGCGGUGAAAUGCGUAGAUACUGGGAGGAACAUCAGUGGCGAAGGCGGCUACCUGGACGGGUACUGACGCUGAGGCGCGAAAGCGUGGGGAGCAAACA
This 207-nucleotide ribosomal RNA is filed under the name uncultured bacterium. RNAcentral describes it as "partial 16S ribosomal RNA". It matches the Rfam family "Bacterial small subunit ribosomal RNA", at positions 568 to 774 of the family's 1533-position model. The record is from RNAcentral.